AUCUCAGAUUAAGUAAGGAGACCCGCUGAAUUUAAGCAUAUAAUUAAGCGGAGGAAAAGAAACUAACCAGGAUUCCCUCAGUAAGGGCGACUGAAGCGGGAAGAGCUCAAACCGAAGAAUUGUGGUGUGUUUGCGUUAUCGCUCGGCCGAAGUCCCUUGGAACAGGGCAGCAUAGAGGGUGAGACUCCCGUUCGGCUGUGCAUUUGAGCUUACAUGAUUGAGUCGAGUUGUUUGGGAUUGCAGCUCAAAGUGGGUGGUAAAUUCCAUCGAAAGCUAAAUAUUGGUGGGAG
This 290-nucleotide ribosomal RNA is filed under the name Thalassionema nitzschioides. RNAcentral describes it as "partial Eukaryotic large subunit ribosomal RNA". It matches the Rfam family "Eukaryotic large subunit ribosomal RNA", at positions 1 to 332 of the family's 3401-position model. The record is from RNAcentral. Lineage: Eukaryota; Bacillariophyta; Fragilariophyceae; Thalassionematales; Thalassionemataceae.